AGCUAAAAAGAAGAAGCCAAAGCUCUUAAACAAGUUUGAUAAGACCAUUAAAGCUGAAUUAGAUGCUGCAGAAAAACUACGUAAAAAAGGAAAAGUUGAAGAAGCUCUAAGGGCCUUUGAAGCACUAGUGAAUCAAUAUCCACAAAGUCCUCGAGCAAGAUAUGGGAAAGCACAGUCUGAAGAUGACUUAGCUGAGAAAAUGAGAAGCAAUGAGAUGCUGCAACAAGCUAUCAACACCUACGAUGAGGUGGUUAGUCUGCCAAAUGUCCCUUCAGAUCUGAUAAAGCUCAGCUUGAAACGAGAAGCAGACAGGCAGCAGUUCCUUGGUCGCAUGAGGGGUUCCCUGAUUACUCUGCAGAAAUUAGUUCAGCUGUUUCCCAGUGAUACGUCAUUCAAGAAUGACCUUGGUGUUGGUUACCUCU
Long non-coding RNA from Empidonax traillii (willow flycatcher), 422 nucleotides. RefSeq lists it as uncharacterized. The record is from RefSeq and is a predicted model, not a curated record. The transcript has 4 exons. NCBI's taxonomy places the organism in Eukaryota, Metazoa, Chordata, Aves, Passeriformes, Tyrannidae.